RNAcentral lists this ribosomal RNA (963 nucleotides) under uncultured bacterium. Its description in RNAcentral is "bacterial SSU rRNA". It matches the Rfam family "Bacterial small subunit ribosomal RNA", at positions 45 to 999 of the family's 1533-position model. The record is from RNAcentral.
GGCUUAACACAUGCAAGUCGAGGGGCAGCAUUUCAGUUUGCUUGCAAACUGGAGAUGGCGACCGGCGCACGGGUGAGUAACACGUAUCCAACCUGCCGAUAACUCGGGGAUAGCCUUUCGAAAGAAAGAUUAAUACCCGAUGGUAUAAUUAGACCGCAUGGUCUUGUUAUUAAAGAAUUUCGGUUAUCGAUGGGGAUGCGUUCCAUUAGGCAGUUGGUGAGGUAACGGCUCACCAAACCUUCGAUGGAUAGGGGUUCUGAGAGGAAGGUCCCCCACAUUGGAACUGAGACACGGUCCAAACUCCUACGGGAGGCAGCAGUGAGGAAUAUUGGUCAAUGGGCGCAGGCCUGAACCAGCCAAGUAGCGUGAAGGAUGACUGCCCUAUGGGUUGUAAACUUCUUUUAUAUGGGAAUAAAGUUUUCCACGUGUGGAAUUUUGUAUGUACCAUAUGAAUAAGGAUCGGCUAACUCCGUGCCAGCAGCCGCGGUAAUACGGAGGAUCCGAGCGUUAUCCGGAUUUAUUGGGUUUAAAGGGAGCGUAGGUGGACAGUUAAGUCAGUUGUGAAAGUUUGCGGCUCAACCGUAAAAUUGCAGUUGAUACUGGCUGUCUUGAGUACAGUAGAGGUGGGCGGAAUUCGUGGUGUAGCGGUGAAAUGCUUAGAUAUCACGAAGAACUCCGAUUGCGAAGGCAGCUCACUGGACUGCAACUGACACUGAUGCUCGAAAGUGUGGGUAUCAAACAGGAUUAGAUACCCUGGUAGUCCACACAGUAAACGAUGAAUACUCGCUGUUUGCGAUAUACAGUAAGCGGCCAAGCGAAAGCAUUAAGUAUUCCACCUGGGGAGUACGCCGGCAACGGUGAAACUCAAAGGAAUUGACGGGGGCCCGCACAAGCGGANGAACAUGUGGUUUAAUUCGAUGAUACGCGAGGAACCUUACCCGGGCUUAAAUUGCAUUUGAUAUA